Molecule: ribosomal RNA, 292 nt
Filed under: uncultured eukaryote
Lineage: Eukaryota
Description: partial 18S ribosomal RNA
Rfam family: Eukaryotic small subunit ribosomal RNA
Source: RNAcentral
GGUUGAUCCUGCCAGCAAUCAUAUGCUCGUCUCAAAGAUUAAGCCAUGCAUGUGUAAGUAUAAGCAAUUGUACUGCGAAACUGCGGAUGGCUCAUUAUAUCAGUAAUAAUCUACUCGGUGAAUCAUUUUAGUUGGAUAACUGUAGGAAUUCUAGAGCUAAUACAUGCAAGACGUUCGGACCGGGGGCAACCUUGGGAAGAAUACGUUUACAAGUACAGAAAUCAAUGGGACUUGUCCCUAAAACUGAUGAUUCAUUGUAAGUUCGUAGACCGAGAGCUUAAGUUCUCGGCGA